UACGGAGGGUGCAAGCAUUACUCGGAUUUAUUGGGCGUAAAGGGCGCGUAGGCGGGGUUGUAAGUCAGAUGUGAAAUUCCGAAGCUCAACUUCGGAGCUGCAUUUGAAACUACAAGUCUAGAGGAGUGGCGGAGAAAAUGGAAUUCCACGUGUAGCGGUGAAAUUGGUAGAUAUGUGGAAGAACACCUGUGGCGAAAGCGGUUGUCUAGCUUAUUCCUGACGCUGAGGCGCGAGAGCAAGGGUAGCAAACGGG
This 253-nucleotide ribosomal RNA is filed under the name uncultured bacterium. RNAcentral's name for it is "partial 16S ribosomal RNA". It matches the Rfam family "Bacterial small subunit ribosomal RNA", at positions 524 to 776 of the family's 1533-position model. The record is from RNAcentral.